RNAcentral lists this ribosomal RNA (468 nucleotides) under uncultured bacterium. RNAcentral describes it as "partial 16S ribosomal RNA". The stretch from base 20 to 330 matches the Rfam family "Bacterial small subunit ribosomal RNA", at positions 47 to 358 of the family's 1533-position model. The record is from RNAcentral.
GACGAACGCUGGCGGCGUGCUUAACACAUGCAAGUCGAACGGAAAGGCCCUGCUUUUGUGGGGUGCUCGAGUGGCGAACGGGUGAGUAACACGUGAGUAACCUGCCCUUGACUUUGGGAUAACUUCAGGAAACUGGGGCUAAUACCGGAUAGGAGCUCCUGCUGCAUGGUGGGGGUUGGAAAGUUUCGGCGGUUGGGGAUGGACUCGCGGCUUAUCAGCUUGUUGGUGGGGUAGUGGCUUACCAAGGCUUUGACGGGUAGCCGGCCUGAGAGGGUGACCGGCGGCGGUGGGACUGGUAGAGGGGCGAGAGGACGCCGGGGGGCACAUGGGGGGGAGGUGGCGGGAGGGGCGGAGGCUGGAUACCGCAGUGGCGGGUGCGGGAGGGGGGCUUACGGGGUGAAAAAAGCUAUCGCCGGGGACGAAGCGGGCUGGAGGGGAAUGGGUAGGGAAGAAGAGGACAUGUACGGC